CAGUCGCCGCGGUAAAACGUAGGGUGCAAGCGUUGUCCGGAAUUACUGGGCGUAAAGAGUUCGUAGGCGGUUUGUCGCGUCGUUUGUGAAAACCAGCAGCUCAACUGCUGGCUUGCAGGCGAUACGGGCAGACUUGAGUACUGCAGGGGAGACUGGAAUUCCUGGUGUAGCGGUGAAAUGCGCAGAUAUCAGGAGGAACACCGGUGGCGAAGGCGGGUCUCUGGGCAGUAACUGACGCUGAGGAACGAAAGCGUGGGUAGCGAACAGGAUUAGAUACCCCCGUAGUCCCUGUCUCUUAUAC
This 301-nucleotide ribosomal RNA is filed under the name uncultured bacterium. Its description in RNAcentral is "partial 16S ribosomal RNA". It matches the Rfam family "Bacterial small subunit ribosomal RNA", at positions 509 to 807 of the family's 1533-position model. The record is from RNAcentral.